CAGGCCUAACCAUGCAAGUCGAAGGAUAAGCUAACUUCUGAUUCCUUCGGGAUGAUGAGUUGGCAGAAAGUGGCGAACGGGUGAGUAACGCGUGGGUAAUCUACCCUGAAGUGGGGGAUAACCCUCCGAAAGGAGGGCUAGUACCGCAUAAUAUCUUUCCUCUAAAGAAUAGAAGAUUAAAGAUGGCCUCUAUACUAUGCUAUCACUCAGGAUGAUCCUGCGUCCUAUUAGUUAGUUGGUGGGGUAAUGGCCUACAAGACCACAAUGGGUAGCCGGUCUGAGAGGAUGUACGGCCACACUGGGUUGAGAUACGGCCCAUACUCCUACGGGAGGCAGCAGUGGGGAAUAUUGCGAAUGGGGGAAACCCUGACACAGGGACGCCGCGUGGAUGAUGAAGGCC
This 400-nucleotide ribosomal RNA is filed under the name uncultured bacterium. RNAcentral describes it as "bacterial SSU rRNA". It matches the Rfam family "Bacterial small subunit ribosomal RNA", at positions 43 to 416 of the family's 1533-position model. The record is from RNAcentral.